RNAcentral lists this ribosomal RNA (468 nucleotides) under uncultured bacterium. RNAcentral's name for it is "partial 16S ribosomal RNA". It matches the Rfam family "Bacterial small subunit ribosomal RNA", at positions 28 to 507 of the family's 1533-position model. The record is from RNAcentral.
GAUGAACGCUGGCGGCGUGCCUAAUACAUGCAAGUCGAACGGACAGGCCCUGCUCUUGCGGGGCUCUCGUGUGGCGAAGGGGUGAGUAAAACGCGAGUAUCCCGUCCCUGACUUUGGGAUAAAUUUAGGAAACUGGGGAUAUUAUCGGAUAGGAGCUCCUGAUCCACGGUGGGGGUUGGAAAGAUUCGGCGGUUGUGGAUGGUCUCGCUGCUUAUCAGCUUGUUGGUGUGGUAGUGGCUUACAAAGGUUUUGACGGAUAGCCGGCCUGAGAGGGUGACCGGCCACAUUGGGACUGAGAUACGGCCCAGACUCCUACGGGAGGCAGCAGUGGGGAAUAUUGCACAGUAGGCGGAAGCCUGAUGCAGCGACGCCGCGUGCGGGAUGACGGCCUUCGGGUUGUAAACCGCUUUCGCCUGUGACGAAGCGUGAGUGACGGUAAUGGGUAAAGAAGCACCGGCUAACUACGUG